AGGGCUUUUCUUAAAACCUUGGUCCCUUUGCAGUAUUCUAACCUGUGCUGCAUCAUCCCAUCUCCCAACAGUACCAUACAUAUUGGAUAAAAGAACAAAAUUUCCCGUACUUUCAUGUCCUAGCUUCUGAAUUUUCUUUGAUACUUGUUCCCCAAGUUCAACAUUUCUAUGGACCCUACAAGCAGCAAGCAAGGCACUCCAAAUACGAACAUCAGGCUCAAAUGGCAUCUUUUCAAUGAAAUUGCAUACCUCUUCAAAUUUCCCUGCCCGGCUCAAAAGAUCAGCCAUGCAUACAUGAUGCUCCAUUCUGGGAGUGAUGCCAAAAUCUUGAUUCAUGGCAUUAAACCAGUGUUUACCUUCUGUGACGAGGCCAGAAUGGCUGCAAGCAGAUAAGAUACAAAUGAAAGUCACAUCAUCUGGCUCUAUACCUUCUGCCAGCAUGUUAUCGAACAGCAAUAAUGCUUCCAUGCCAAGCCCAUGAAUUCCAUAAGCAAUUAUCAUUGCAUUCCAUGAUACAAUAUCCCUCUUAUGCAUCCUAUCAAAAACUCUCCUGGCAGUGUCAAUCCUUCCACACUUUGCAUACAUGUCAAUAAGAGCAUUACAAAUUGCAGUUUCAGUUGCAAGGCCAUGAACAAUUGCAUAACAAUGACUGCAAGAACCAUGUUGUAUAGCAGCCAAAUGAGCAGAAGCUGGCAGGACACCUACCAUGGUUGCCAUUUCUGGAUCCAAUCCUGACAAUUGCAUCUUAUGGAACAAACGUAAAGCCUCUUCUGCAUGACCAUUCUGCACGCAUCCUGAAAUAAUAGCACUAUAUGAAACUGUAUCUUUCAAAUCCAUUUCAUAAAAGAAUUUUUUUGCAUCAUUGACAAUCCCACACUUUGCAUAUGCCGAAAGUAGAGUAUUUCCCAACAUUAAAUCUGAAACAAAACCCGAUUUAACAGUGUAACAAUGUAUGCAUCUGCCCAUAUUUGAGUCUGCUAACUUUGCACAAGCUCGAAGAACAGUAGCAAGAGUUACGGAUGUUGGAGACAAAGCAAAGUCUUUGCGCCUCAUCAUUUCCCGAAAAAGUUCCAACGCCUCCCUCAUAAAAUCACAAAUAACGUAAGCACCAAGCAUAGCACUCCAGGUCACCUCAUUCUUGUCAAUACCCACCCUGUCAAAAAUUUUCCUGGCAUAACCUAUGUACAGACAUUUCCCAUACAUAUCCAAAAUCCCGGUUGCAACUAUGACAUCAUCAAUGUAACCCCUCCUCACACAAAAACCAUGCAUCGCCUUGCCAUGGCUCAAAGCAUUAGCCUGAGCAAUUGCUGGAAGAAUGGCCACAAUUGUUGAAGAGUUGGGGCUUAUGAAAUCCUUUUGCAUUCGGACAAGCAAUUGCAUAGUCUCAUCAUAACACACCCCAUGCAGAGAAAACCCGGCAAUCAUAGAAUUCCAUGCAACAACAUCUCUGCGAGGCAUGUCACUAAAUACCGUCUCUGCAUCAUCCAAACACCCGCAUUUCGCAUACAUAUCAACCAAAGCCGUGGAAACAUAAACAUCAGAAUCAAGCCGGAGCCUUUUGGCAUGAACAUGAAUGUCCUUGCCUGGUUCAAUUGCUUGAAGAGCCGAACAUGCUUUAAGCACAAUUGGGAAAGUAAAUUUGGAGGGCUGGAUACCCAAUUCCAGCAUUUUGUAGUAAAAAUUAAUGGCUUCACCGUAGGGUCCAUUCCAAGCAUAUGUCCUUAUUAACAGAUUCCAAAUGAGAACCUUUUUUGGCUUUUGGGGACUUCUAUCAAACAAUCGGCG
This 1785-nucleotide unclassified non-coding RNA is filed under the name Hevea brasiliensis (rubber tree). The record is from RNAcentral. Lineage: Eukaryota; Viridiplantae; Streptophyta; Magnoliopsida; Malpighiales; Euphorbiaceae.